Molecule: ribosomal RNA, 429 nt
Filed under: uncultured bacterium
Lineage: Bacteria
Description: bacterial SSU rRNA
Rfam family: Bacterial small subunit ribosomal RNA
Source: RNAcentral
GAUGAACGCUAGCGGCAGGCCUAACACAUGCAAGUCGAGGGGUAACGGGGUGCUUGCACCGCCGACGACCGGCGCACGGGUGCGUAACGCGUAUGCAAUCUACCUUAUACUGGAGUAUAGCCCAGAGAAAUUUGGAUUAAUCCUUCAUAGUAUGUGAUCAUGGCAUCAUGGACACAUUAAAGGUUACGGUAUAAGAUGAGCAUGCGUCCUAUUAGUUUGUUGGUAAGGUAACGGCUUACCAAGACUACGAUAGGUAGGGGCCCUGAGAGGGGGAUCCCCCACACUGGUACUGAGACACGGACCAGACUCCUACGGGAGGCAGCAGUGAGGAAUAUUGGACAAUGGGCGAGAGCCUGAUCCAGCCAUGCCGCGUGCAGGAAGACGGCCCUAUGGGUUGUAAACUGCUUUUAUACAGGAAGAAACACCCCC